This 73-nucleotide transfer RNA is filed under the name Elusimicrobia bacterium RIFOXYB2_FULL_49_7. RNAcentral's name for it is "tRNA-Thr". It matches the Rfam family "tRNA". From Rfam's summary of the family: Transfer RNA (tRNA) molecules are approximately 80 nucleotides in length. Their secondary structure includes four short double-helical elements and three loops (D, anti-codon, and T loops). The record is from RNAcentral. Lineage: Bacteria; Pseudomonadati; Elusimicrobiota.
GCCGGCGUAGCUCAGUUGGUAGAGCAGCUGAUUUGUAAUCAGCGGGUCGGAGGUUCAAGUCCUCUCGUCGGCU